UACUCAGAAUACACAUUGUGGCCUCAUGUAAUUUUUCAGUCAGUGUCAGCUUAGCAAGCUCUCACAGUCUACUAAAUCCUAGGCAGUGGACUGCAAAGACUCUCAGCUGGGAAGAGCAC
Vicugna pacos (alpaca) is the source of this 119-nucleotide non-coding RNA. NCBI's taxonomy places the organism in Eukaryota, Metazoa, Chordata, Mammalia, Artiodactyla, Camelidae. The record is from RefSeq and is a predicted model, not a curated record.